GUUAUUUCCUUAGGAUCAAUUUCUGAAGUGGAUCGAUACAGAGAUUAGCAUGACCCUUGUGCAGUGAUGAUGUGCCAAUUCAGGAAGCAUUCUGUAUUUUU
Delphinapterus leucas (beluga whale) is the source of this 101-nucleotide small nuclear RNA. The record is from Ensembl. Lineage: Eukaryota; Metazoa; Chordata; Mammalia; Artiodactyla; Monodontidae.